Molecule: long non-coding RNA, 3370 nt
Organism: Alligator mississippiensis (American alligator)
Lineage: Eukaryota; Metazoa; Chordata; Crocodylia; Alligatoridae
Exons: 4
Source: RefSeq, a predicted model, not a curated record
AGAGCACAGGGUGUGUCUGCCACUUUAAGGGCCUGGAGCUGGCAGCCUCCAGGUGCCUGAUUAGGGCAGCCAUUUUGAGGCCUAGGCUGCCUAUAUAAACAAGGCAGUUUGGCUGCAGGAGGCCAGGCAGUAACAUUGCCUGGCCAGAGGUCUGCUGCGAACAACCCAGAGACCUCGUCAAAUUCUUCUGCUGCUCCCUCUUGGGUGCAUCUCACUUUCUUGCAGGUACUAAUGCUCCCAGGGACACCCCACUCAUUUCAAGGAGGAAGAUGGUCUCAUCCUUGCUUUCUUGAGGGGAAAGUGAGGCACAGAGACCAGGAUCUUGAGGGGAUGUGGCUGCCUCUUGCCCAGUGAAGUAGGUGAUGUCCAAACCUCCUGGAGAGGAUGUAAGAUCUGGAACUCCAUUGUCAUCAUCCCCGGGCUGGCCUGUAACCCCAGCACUCUGUGAUUUCCCAGUCAGGCUGCCCCAUGUCCCCAGCGUUACCUGAAUAAGCAGCCAGGAAGAGAAGCAGCCUGAGACCUGUCAUCUUCAUUCCACUCAGCGACCUUGUGGGCUGAGGACACUGGAGCUUUUCUCUUCACACCUCAGUGAGGAUCAGAUGCUCUCCUUUAUCUGGGUGGGGCCCAGUCUCAUUUGCAUGUGGUUGCUACUAAAUCAUAUGCAUAAAACCAUGGUUUGCCCUAUUGUGCUCAUAAAGGACAAUAUGAUCCUUCAUAAUUUUUUUCAAAGACCUUUCCAAGGAUGUACGUGAGACUGACUGGCCUAUAAUUACUCAGAUCCUCCUUCCUCCCCUUCUUGAAAAUAAGGACCACACUGGCCCCUUUCCAGCCCUCUGGUCAGUCAGUCCCUCCAGAAUGUGGACUGAUCUUUCCUAUCCAUUCUGACCUUUGUGCAGGGGACAGACAGAUCCAGUUAAUGUUGUAGUGGCUGCUCUGGCCAUAGCCAGGUGGUAAGGGCAGGGGCUAUGGAGUGGAGGUGACCUCUGUGUCUUGGGUAAGAUGUAGAGCUGCACCCUGCUGGGGAAGGGUGGUGUGGUGGGGCUCCUACUGGCAUGGGAGACCCCAGGAAAUGCCAAACCAAUUACUUCCCUUGUGAAAGGUGGGUCAGGGUGCCUUAUAACCCCAGCCCCACAUCUUUGGUGGUGUUCUAGUGAACAGGUGGAGCCCAGGGCCCAUUAAGGAGCCCUGAGGCAGAGCUCAGGCUGGAGGAGGGACCUGGGGCCACACCUGGGUGGCAGGGGAAAGCCUGGGGGUGCGAGAGACCCUGAGUGAGAGGGGCAAUGAGUAAAGAGACCCUGGAUGAGAGGGGCAACAAGUAAAGUGGCCCCAUGAGUGUGGGCAAGUGAGGAGGCCUAGUGGAGGCAUAGUGGUCCAUCGAGGGGCCAGGAGCUAAACAGGCCUACAGUCGUACAAUCGCUCAGUCAAUGCUCAGGUGAGGGUGCCGGGAGGCAUGCAACAGACUGCACUGGGGCUGACUGAGGUGAGGAUAGCUAAGCCUGAACUUGGGUGAGGCCAGGUAGGAUGAGUGUGGCCCUGAGAGAGCAGUAUGAAAGAGGCUGGGUGAGAGCCAGCAGAGUAAGUGGGACCCCAGUGGGAGAGGGGUGGUAUGUGAGUGGCUGCAGAGAAGAGCUACAACUGUGUGCCUUGUUUGCUCCAGCCAUGGGCUAGAGAAGUAACACCACUAGAGAAGUAACUCCAGCCAUGGGCUAGAGAAGCAACAUCUGAGAGGCUUGGGACCUGUGGAGGGGAGGUUGGAGCAGGUGUUAGGCCCUUGCCAGCAGGGCAAAUAAUGGGUAGCCUCCCAACCUAGUAAGAACGCUCAUGGUUUUUCCAUCAAGGUGUAGCAAGCGAGCAAAGUGGGUGGUUGCCUGAGGAGCAGGGUGUCCAGCAGAGACCUGACCAGGAGGCCACCCUGUUACUCUCACUAACAAUGAUGACAGUUGGAAAGCAAAGCUCCUGGUUUGGAAUUAAAGCUCAAAAUUUCUCUACCCCUGGUUGAAGCCCAGAAGCUGAGACCCUCCCUCUCCCCAGCACUCCCAGACCUGCCAUGUUGGCUUCCCUCAAGGCCUGUGUGGGCUGCACAGACACUGGGCUCUUCUCCAGUUGGAGAUAAGCGGGCACAAUGUGCAUUAGAGUGCCUGAUGCUGGUAUCCUGGCAUGGGAUAUGAGGGCAGUUGUGAGGACAUGAACUCUAGGAAUGAUGAACUGGAACCCUCUCUGUAGGCAAAAGUGUAGUUGAGCCUGGAUGUCCAAAUUUUCAGCACAGGGAUUGAUACAGUAUAUGUCACACAAGGAAAAGGGAUUUGGAUUUCCAGGUCUCCACUUUGCAAAUCCCAGUCUUCAGUGACUGGAGAUGGUGAGCUCCUCAGUGUUGUUCCUUGUUUCUGUGAAAAGUCAAUCUGUUUUAAAUGUGGAAACAUGCUGCCACCCUAUUGCUGUGCAUGUCUGUCAGCAACGAAGGCUGCAGCAAUCACACGGAGUUCAUAUAUCGCUACCCUUUACUCCCCAGAAAUGUUUUAUAAUAACUCUGUAAUGGGAAGACUUUUGUGUAAGACUGUCUACAAAAUCAGAUCAUUACAAUUCCUGUGCACCAAGAACAAGCAGUACAGUACAACUCUCAAAUGCAAGACCAAGAUGCAUUUCUGCCCCCAGGGGAGGGGGCACUGCUAUUUUCACAAGAAAAGGAAGAAGGAUUCAGUGCUUUCUUUGCUUGUGAACUUCCUUUAUUAUUAACUUUUGAUCUAGAAGUUGGUGGAUCUGCUCCUGUCCUCCUUGCUAGGCCUCAAAGGACUGGGAGUGGACACUGGCAGCAACAUCCAUUAAUUCCUGUAGAGAUUAGAAACAAGGAGUGUAUCACCCUGCUUGCUCAAAAGCCUCAGGAGAUGAGACAGAGCAAGUCUAAAGGUUUUGGAGUUGGAAGAAACCUGCCUGCGCCUGUCCCUGUGACCUUGAGAUCCACAGAAGUACAGAAGCAGCACAAAGGAACUGAAAGAAAAUAUGCUUCUUUAUUGAAAGGCAGAGGCCUGUCCUCCCUAGACAUCUUCACCAGGAUCACAACUGUGACAUGAUGAAGUCAUCUCCAGAUCCAGUUGACACAGUCUGGAGCAGAAGUCAAGACACCUGGGGGUAAAGCUGACUUAUAAAACCUCUGGCUACACAUUUACAUACCUUGGCAUGAACUGGACACAAGAGGCUCGUGGGAGCGAGCUGCUGCCAGCCUAAGGCUGUACACAUCUGUUGGAAGCAGAGGUGGCAUGUCUGCUUUUAACCUUCCAUUUUAUUGUUUUUACUUUGAAAAUAUCUUCAGGUCUCGGGAGGGGUGGGAAGAAAGUGAGGGAGAAGUGGGCAGAGAAAAAUCACCCUGUCUUAU